Molecule: ribosomal RNA, 484 nt
Filed under: uncultured bacterium
Lineage: Bacteria
Description: partial 16S ribosomal RNA
Rfam family: Bacterial small subunit ribosomal RNA
Source: RNAcentral
AUUGAACGCUGGCGGCAGGCCUAACACAUGCAAGUCGAGCGGAUGAAGGGAGCUUGCUCCUGGAUUCAGCGGCGGACGGGUGAGUAAUGCCUAGGAAUCUGCCUGGUAGUGGGGGAUAACGUCCGGAAACGGGCGCUAAUACCGCAUACGUCCUGUGGGAGAAAGUGGGGGAUCUUCGGACCUCACGCUAUCAGAUGAGCCUAGGUCGGAUUAGCUAGUUGGUGGGGUAAAGGCCUACCAAGGCGACGAUCCGUAACUGGUCUGAGAGGAUGAUCAGUCACACUGGAACUGAGACACGGUCCGGACUCCUACGGGAGGCAGCAGUGGGGAAUAUUGGACAAUGGGCGAAAGCCUGAUCCAGCCAUGCCGCGUGUGUGAAGAAGGUCUUCGGAUUGUAAAGCACUUUAAGUUGGGAGGAAGGGCAGUAAGUUAAUACCUUGCUGUUUUGACGUUACCAACAGAAUAAGCACCGGCUAACUUCGUG